ACGGGAGGCAGCAGUGAGGAAUAUUGGUCAAUGGACGGAAGUCUGAACCAGCCAAGUCGCGUGCGGGAGGAAGGCCCUACGGGUCGUAAACCGCUUUUGUACGGGGAUAAAGUCACCCACGUGUGGGUGUUUGUAGGUACCGUAAGAAUAAGGAUCGGCUAACUCCGUGCCAGCAGCCGCGGUAAUACGGAGGAUCCGAGUGUUAUCCGGAUUUAUUGGGUUUAAAGGGUGCGUAGGCGGAGGAUCAAGUCAGUGGUGAAAUGGUGCGGCUCAACCGUAGCAUUGCCGUUGAAACUGGUUUUCUAGAGUGCGAAUGAGGUGGGCGGAAUGUGUCAUGUAGCGGUGAAAUGCAUAGAUAUGACACAGAACACCGAUUGCGAAGGCAGCUCACUGGGACGCAACUGACGCUGAGGCACGAAAGUGCGGGGAUCGAACAGGAUUAGAUACCCUGGUA
RNAcentral lists this ribosomal RNA (454 nucleotides) under uncultured Paludibacter sp. Its description in RNAcentral is "partial 16S ribosomal RNA". It matches the Rfam family "Bacterial small subunit ribosomal RNA", at positions 341 to 792 of the family's 1533-position model. Lineage: Bacteria; Pseudomonadati; Bacteroidota; Bacteroidia; Bacteroidales; Paludibacteraceae. The record is from RNAcentral.